RNAcentral lists this ribosomal RNA (659 nucleotides) under uncultured bacterium. Its description in RNAcentral is "bacterial SSU rRNA". It matches the Rfam family "Bacterial small subunit ribosomal RNA", at positions 83 to 777 of the family's 1533-position model. The record is from RNAcentral.
CCUUCGGGGCGAGCGGCGGACGGGUUAGUAACGCGUGGGAACAUACCCUUUUCUACGGAAUAGCCAUUGGAAACGAUGAGUAAUACCGUAUACGCCCUUCGGGGGAAAGAUUUAUCGGAGAAGGAUUGGCCCGCGUUAGAUUAGAUAGUUGGUGGGGUAAUGGCCUACCAAGUCUACGAUCUAUAGCUGGUUUUAGAGGAUGAUCAGCAACACUGGGACUGAGACACGGCCCAGACUCCUACGGGAGGCAGCAGUGGGGAAUCUUAGACAAUGGGCGCAAGCCUGAUCUAGCCAUGCCGCGUGUGUGAUGAAGGCCCUAGGGUCGUAAAGCACUUUCGCCAGAGAUGAUAAUGACAGUAUCUGGUAAAGAAACCCCGGCUAACUCCGUGCCAGCAGCCGCGGUAAUACGGAGGGGGUUAGCGUUGUUCGGAAUUACUGGGCGUAAAGCGUACGUAGGCGGAUCAGAAAGUAGGGGGUGAAAUCCCGAGGCUCAACCUCGGAACUGCCUCCUAAACUCCUGGUCUUGAGUUCGAGAGAGGUGAGUGGAAUUCCAAGUGUAGAGGUGAAAUUCGUAGAUAUUUGGAGGAACACCAGUGGCGAAGGCGGCUCACUGGCUCGAUACUGACGCUGAGGUACGAAAGUGUGGGGAGCAAACAGGA